Molecule: transfer RNA, 73 nt
Filed under: Felis catus (domestic cat)
Lineage: Eukaryota; Metazoa; Chordata; Mammalia; Carnivora; Felidae
Also listed under: 2 other names
Rfam family: tRNA
About the family: Transfer RNA (tRNA) molecules are approximately 80 nucleotides in length. Their secondary structure includes four short double-helical elements and three loops (D, anti-codon, and T loops). Further hydrogen bonds mediate the characteristic L-shaped molecular structure. tRNAs have two regions of fundamental functional importance: the anti-codon, which is responsible for specific mRNA codon recognition, and the 3' end, to which the tRNAs corresponding amino acid is attached (by aminoacyl-tRNA synthetases). tRNAs cope with the degeneracy of the genetic code in two manners: having more than one tRNA (with a specific anti-codon) for a particular amino acid; and 'wobble' base-pairing, i.e. permitting non-standard base-pairing at the 3rd anti-codon position.
Source: Rfam by way of RNAcentral
GCCCAGCUGGCUCAGUUGGAGGAGCAUGCGACUCUCGAUCUCGGGGUCGUGAGUUCGAGCCCCAUGUUGGGCG